UACAGAGGUCCCAAGCGUUGUUCGGAUUUACUGGGCGUAAAGGGUGCGCAGGCGGUCGGAUAAGUCGGGUGUGAAAUACCAAGGCUCAACCUUGGAACGGCGCUCGAAACUGUCUGGCUAGAGGAUUGGAAGGGAGAUUGGAAUUCAUGGUGUAGCAGUGAAAUGCGUAGAUAUCAUGAGGAACACCAGUGGCGAAGGCGGAUCUCUGGACAAUUCCUGACGCUCAUGCACGAAAGCCAGGGGAGCAAACGGG
This 253-nucleotide ribosomal RNA is filed under the name uncultured prokaryote. RNAcentral describes it as "partial 16S ribosomal RNA". It matches the Rfam family "Bacterial small subunit ribosomal RNA", at positions 524 to 776 of the family's 1533-position model. The record is from RNAcentral.